AACAGGGCUGAUCUGGCGACUUAGUUGUCCAGCGAAAAAUGUUCUUGAGGCGACGUAACCGUCCCGACUGAUCCUAGCUUCCGAGCGUCCACUCUUCAGCGAGCAAGAAGACUGCUUUCCACUUCAGUUUGGAUCAGGAUCGCAUCUCCAAGCGAUGACUAACGUCGCGUACUUGCGUAACCACUGAACGCNNNNNNNNNNNNCCAACUAGUUGGAAGUCGUUAUCCGGACCCACCAAUUUCAUUCGCUGCAAGGUGUGAGCUGUUCGGGAA
Molecule: unclassified non-coding RNA, 272 nt
Filed under: Hevea brasiliensis (rubber tree)
Lineage: Eukaryota; Viridiplantae; Streptophyta; Magnoliopsida; Malpighiales; Euphorbiaceae
Source: RNAcentral